GAUGAACGCUGGCGGCGUGCCUAAUACAUGCAAGUCGAGCGAACAGACGAGGAGCGUGCUCCUCUGCCGUUAGCGGCGGACGGGUGAGUAACACGUGGAUAACCUACCUAUAAGACUGGGAUAACUUCGGGAAACCGGAGAUAAUACCGGAGAAUAUAUUGAACCGCAGGGAUCAAUAGUGAAAGACGGUUUUGCUGUCACUUAUAGAUGGAUCCGCGCCGCAUUAGCUAGUUGGUAAGGUAACGGCUUACCAAGGCAACGAUGCGUAGCCGACCUGAGAGGGUGAUCGGCCACACUGGAACUGAGACACGGUCCAGACUCCUACGGGAGGCAGCAGUAGGGAAUCUUCCGCAAUGGGCGCAAGCCUGACGGAGCCACGCCGCGUGAGUGAUGAAGGUCUUCGGAUCGUAAAACUCUGUUAUUAGGGAAGAACAACUGUGUAAGUAACUAUGCACGUCUUGACGGUACCUAAUCAGAAAGCCACGGCUAACUACGUG
RNAcentral lists this ribosomal RNA (497 nucleotides) under uncultured bacterium. Its description in RNAcentral is "partial 16S ribosomal RNA". It matches the Rfam family "Bacterial small subunit ribosomal RNA", at positions 28 to 507 of the family's 1533-position model. The record is from RNAcentral.